Molecule: long non-coding RNA, 639 nt
Organism: Lagenorhynchus albirostris (white-beaked dolphin)
Lineage: Eukaryota; Metazoa; Chordata; Mammalia; Artiodactyla; Delphinidae
Exons: 4
Source: RefSeq, a predicted model, not a curated record
CGGGGCCUUCCCGCCGAGCCUCCGCCAGGCUUCGGGACCGAGGGGCUGGGGAGCUACACGGAGAUCAAGGCCAAGAGCAGCUCCCCCAGAUCACCUUUCAGGUCACUUUCUCACAAAUGACUUUCCCAGCCCUUCAUCUAAAGGAGCACACAAAGAGGCCUUGGGGGGAGUUCCUGGAAGAACUGAAAUCAGAAAUGGUGAUUCUUCUAACAUAUCAAGGAACUCUGGGAAAUAAUCACCAACUUCUUCAUCUACUGCUCCAACAAGACUUAUCUGCCGCAUAGGACCUGCUCGGGCCAAGUUCAACCAUGCACAUGACAACACCAAAGGAAAUGGCAAAACUUAAAGACAGAAGGAAAGGAGAAUCCAAGAUGACAUCAUGGAACAGAGCUGCUUACCUCUGGGCUUGUUACUUGAGAAAGAAACUUAUUUUGUCCUAGCUACUGUAUGUGCGAUCUCUUUGUUACGGUGGUUUAGCCUAUAUCUUGUAUACUUUGUACUAAGGGAGGCAAUACUCCAUAUUGCACAGAUGACACCUGGAGCAUUAUCUCCUGCUCUGGGCUAAAAAAAAAAGUCUAUUACAAGAGCACACCCGAAAGACAACAAUCAAGAUGAUUAGUGACUUGGAAAUCAUACAGA